CUGCCCAGUGACUCUGUUCAACGGCCGCGGUAUCCUAACCGUGCGAAGGUAGCGUAAUCACUUGUUCUUUAAAUGAGGACUAGUAUGAAUGGCAUCACGAAGGUUAUACUGUCUCCUCUUUCCAAUCAGUGAAACUAAUCUCCCCGUGAAGAAGCGGGGAUAACUCUAUAAGACGAGAAGACCCUAUGGAGCUUUAAACUAAGAAUCAACUGACUUUUCCACUUUUAAAUUCCAGAAAACUAACUUUUACCAAGACACUCUGAUUUCUAGUUUUAGGUUGGGGUGACCACGGAGUAAAAACUAACCUCCGCAAUGAACAGGGAUCUUCCCUUAACCAAGGACCACAACCCUAAGAAUCAACACAUUGACAUCAAUUGACCCAAAAAAAUUUGAUCAAUGAACCAAGUUACCCUAGGGAUAACAGCGCAAUCCACUUUAAGAGCCCCUAUCGACAA
RNAcentral lists this ribosomal RNA (455 nucleotides) under Leptodactylus knudseni (Knudsen's thin-toed frog). RNAcentral describes it as "partial 16S ribosomal RNA". It matches the Rfam family "Bacterial large subunit ribosomal RNA", at positions 1859 to 2511 of the family's 2925-position model. Lineage: Eukaryota; Metazoa; Chordata; Amphibia; Anura; Leptodactylidae. The record is from RNAcentral.